UGGCGAACGGGUGAGUAACGCGUGGGUAACCUGCCUCAUACAGGGGGAUAACAGUUGGAAACGGCUGCUAAUACCGCAUAAGCGCGCAAUACCGCAUGGUACCGUGUGAAAAACUACCGGUGGUAUGAGAUGGACCCGCGUCUGAUUAGCUAGUUGGUGGGGUAACGGCCUACCAAGGCGACGAUCAGUAGCCGACCUGAGAGGGUGAUCGGCCACAUUGGGACUGAGACACGGUCCAAACUCCUACGGGAGGCAGCAUG
RNAcentral lists this ribosomal RNA (260 nucleotides) under uncultured bacterium. RNAcentral's name for it is "partial 16S ribosomal RNA". It matches the Rfam family "Bacterial small subunit ribosomal RNA", at positions 96 to 353 of the family's 1533-position model. The record is from RNAcentral.